RNAcentral lists this non-coding RNA (113 nucleotides) under Nocardiopsis alba. The record is from RNAcentral. Lineage: Bacteria; Bacillati; Actinomycetota; Actinomycetes; Streptosporangiales; Nocardiopsidaceae.
GUGGUGACGGCGGGAGGGGAGAAUCUGGGAAGCCCGGUGAGAUUCCGGCACAGGCCCGCUGCGGUGAACCGAGCCUCCGUGAGGAGGACCCGGCAAGUCCGAAGACCGGCCUC